This 253-nucleotide ribosomal RNA is filed under the name uncultured bacterium. RNAcentral's name for it is "partial 16S ribosomal RNA". It matches the Rfam family "Bacterial small subunit ribosomal RNA", at positions 524 to 776 of the family's 1533-position model. The record is from RNAcentral.
UACGGAGGGUGCAAACGUUGCUCGGAAUCAUUGGGCGUAAAGCGCGCGUAGGCGGCGAGGCAAGUUGGAUGUGAAAGCCCUGGGCUCAACCUAGGAUGUGCAUACAAAACUGCCUCGCUUGAAUCUCGGAGGGGGUCAGGGAAUUCCCGGUGUAGAGGUGAAAUUCGUAGAUAUCGGGAGGAACACCAGUGGCGAAGGCGCUGACCUGGACGAUGAUUGACGCUGAGGCGCGAAAGCGUGGGGAGCGAACAGG